Molecule: ribosomal RNA, 154 nt
Filed under: uncultured bacterium
Lineage: Bacteria
Description: partial 16S ribosomal RNA
Rfam family: Bacterial small subunit ribosomal RNA
Source: RNAcentral
CACUCCUCAGGGCUGCAGCAGUGGGGAAUAUUGCACAAUGGGCGCAAGCCUGAUGCAGCCAUGCCGCGUGUAUGAAGAAGGCCUUCGGGUUGUAAAGUACUUUCAGCGAGGAGGAAGGCAUUAAGGUUAAUAACCUUAGUGAUGACUUAUCGAC